UGAGGAAUAUUGGUCAAUGGGCGGGAGCCUGAACCAGCCAAGCCGCGUGAGGGAGGAAGGCCCUAUGGGUCGUAAACCUCUUUUGUCAGGGAACAAAAGCGAGUAUGUAUACUAGUCUGAGUGUACCUGAAGAAAAAGCAACGGCUAACUCCGUGCCAGCAGCCGCGGUAAUACGGAGGAUGCGAGCGUUAUCCGGAUUUAUUGGGUUUAAAGGGUGCGUAGGCGGCGGUGCAAGUCAGCGGUAAAAGCCCGGGGCUCAACCCCGGCGAGCCGUUGAAACUGCAGUGCUAGAGAAGGCGAGAGGUACGCGGAAUGCGCAGUGUAGCGGUGAAAUGCUUAGAUAUUGCGCAGAACUCCGAUUGCGAAGGCAGCGUACUGGCGCCUGACUGACGCUGAGGCACGAAAGCGUGGGGAUCGAACAGGAUUAGAUACCC
This 434-nucleotide ribosomal RNA is filed under the name uncultured bacterium. RNAcentral's name for it is "bacterial SSU rRNA". It matches the Rfam family "Bacterial small subunit ribosomal RNA", at positions 355 to 787 of the family's 1533-position model. The record is from RNAcentral.